Acinonyx jubatus (cheetah) is the source of this 488-nucleotide long non-coding RNA. RefSeq lists it as uncharacterized. The transcript has 3 exons. The record is from RefSeq and is a predicted model, not a curated record. NCBI's taxonomy places the organism in Eukaryota, Metazoa, Chordata, Mammalia, Carnivora, Felidae.
CCAUGAGGCCAGGACAUUAGUCCAGCCAAUGAACUUCGAGGGGCUGACAGGCAAACAUCGGUGUUCUUAGGUCUCCACCUUUGAGGGUCUCGCUUGUUUCAGCGGCUGAAGCAGCGGCCGGUAAAGCAGAGCCCGUCUUGACCGUGAAGUUUUACCAGCACGUGACCACGGCCACUCAUUCCCGCAAGAUCCAGGGCUGUUUGGGGGCUGCGACGGUGGACUUGAGCCCUUACGACACACGCGGUCUGGCCUUUGGAGACCAGGGCCCUGUGGGACGGCACGUGUGCCUGGGAUGUCCCGCCGGGGCGCGCUGCCCCUCCUGACAUCGGGGCGGCUGGAUGUCCGACUUCGGCUCAGGUCGUGAUCUCACCGUUCGUGGGUUCGAGCCCGGCGACGCCGGGCUCUGUGCUGACAGCUCGGAGCCUGGAGCCUGCCUCGGAUUCUGUGUCUCCCUCCCUGUCUGCGCCUCCCUUGCUCAUAUUCUGUCU